UACGAAGGGGCGUAGCGUUGUUCGGAAUCACUGGGCGUAAAGCGCACGUAGGCGGACUUUUAAGUUCAGGGGUGGAAAUCCCCGGGGCGUCAACCCCCGGAACCUGCCUUUGUAUACUGGAAGUCUUGAGUCCGAGAGAGGUGAGUGGAACUCCGAGUGUAGAGGUGAAAUUCGUAGAUAUUCGGAAGAACACCAGUGGCGAAGGCGGCUCACUGGCUCGAUACUGACGCUGAGGUGCGAAAGUGUGGGGAGCAAACAGGAUUAGAUACCCGCGUAGU
RNAcentral lists this ribosomal RNA (278 nucleotides) under uncultured bacterium. RNAcentral's name for it is "partial 16S ribosomal RNA". It matches the Rfam family "Bacterial small subunit ribosomal RNA", at positions 524 to 794 of the family's 1533-position model. The record is from RNAcentral.